CAACGCCACCUCACGCCACGUGGCCUUACCGUCGCAGUACAGCUGGUCGCCGCCUCCAAACAUGACCUGGGGCGGCCAAGGGGCGUCAAGCAACACCGGUAUUAAACUCGCCACGACAAGCACAACCCAGAUGAAUAGCAACAAUAUCAACCUUUACCCCAUGCGCUCACGUGGAUGGGGUCGCGCUGGUGCACGUGCAUCACGUCCCGCCACAGCGGCUGGAUGCCGCCAUGCGCCAGCUCGUCGGCGGGGUCGUGGAAGCCGUUGCAGGAGUGGAAGCCCCAGUGCCACUUCUGGUUGGCAGAGGGCAGCUGGAUGUUGUACUUCUUGUGGGUGGUGAAGAAGUGGUCGGUGGAGCACACCACGCAGUACUCGAGGGUGGCGGGCGCGCCGCCCAGCUGCAGCGCCAGGUCCCAGCGCCAGAAGUUGUAGCCGGCGUAGGACCACAGCCGCACCGGGUUGCGCAGCACCACGUCACUGCCGUGCUGCUGCUUUUCGCUGUGCAUAUUAGAGGGGGCAGGCAGAGGGAUUGGGUGUUCCAGGCAUGCGUACGGUAGUUGAGUGAUGGUGCGAAGAGAAGGUGCGAGCAGCGUGGCGCGUCGAGGGCAUGUUGCCCGAAGGCGGGGGCAUGGGUCUGGGGGAGGUCUCGCCCACAAGGUUCCCGCAUGCGAACCGAGCGUGGCCUCGACUCACCGGUAUCGCAGGCACGGCGGCAUGGGGCUCUUGUUCUGGUGGAUGAUGACCAUCACCGACAGCUCGUACAGGUGGCUGGAGGGCGUGUAGCCCUGGAAGCGCACGUAGGGGCCGUACGUGUCGUCCAGCGGCGCCGGCCCGGAGAAGUUGGGGUCUACCGCGGGGCCGUUAUGGCCGGCGGCGGCCUGCAAAUCAGACCGGGGGGCACAUUUCGGACACCCGUGUAUAGAAAGCACUGCCUAUUGCACUGGCUGCAUCAUAUAGCCGCAGCACGGCAGCCAAGGCCCAGGCUUCCAUAUGCACAUGUAGCGUGCCGAAUGCUCACCCCGGUUGCCCCGCCAGGGCUCUGUUCUGUCGGCGGCCGGUUGAGCAGGCCGAACUUGGAGGGCGACAGCGGCGACGUCUGCAGGGCGGCCACCUCCUCAUGCGGUGGCGGAGCCCGCGAACACAGGCCCGUUGGGGGCGGCACCACCGUCACUGCGGGGGCACAACAGGUUCCCACUUCCCCGGUGAGGCACGGAAAUGGCCUCGUCCCGGAAGGCGCCGCGACACGUCCCCGUGGAUGCGCCUGGAUGCCUGGCUGCCUGCCCUUCCGUACGCAUCAACAGCUGCCAUUGCGCAUGGCAUUGUAUGCUGCCCCGCAAUGUGCAACGAGUGCCACGCCCGCCAACCGCUGCACCUCACCUCCAGCCUGCAGCUGCUGUUGCUGCAGGGCCGCCGCGUUGGCUGCGGCCGGCAGCGAGGGGUCUUGGGCACCCUGGGCUGCAGCAGCCGUGUCCUUCCCGCGCCCGAACAAGCCGAAAAGCCGCCCCGGCGACAGGGUGCGUCCCGGCUGCUGCUGCCCUUGCUGGUCGGGGUCCGUGCUGGGUGCUGCAUUCUGCCCCGGAGAGCCUUGCUCUGCAGACGGCGGCAAGCGUUCCGCAGAAGCGUGGCUUAGUCAGAGCCCUGCCCGGCAUCCAAUUGUCACAUCAGUGCGUAGGCAAAAGCCAUGCUUUACAUGCAUACGUAGGUGUGGCAGUGGCAGCACGGUGCUCAGUCCCGAGGAACGCCUAGUGUCUCCUUUUUAGCGCCCGCAGACCUGGCUUGUUCUUUGAGAAGAACCGCAUGAACCCAGUCCGGGGCGGUGGGCUGGCGCUGUCUGGCGCGCCGGCUGGCGGGGCACUGCUACCCGCGCCAGCCGGCGGUGGGGUGCCGGCCGGGGCUGGAGGCGGGGGUGGUGGAGGCGGGGGAGCGCCAGGACCAGGGCCACCUGGCACCGCUGGGUAAGCUGGCGGGGGGGCCCCGCCGUACUGAGGAUGCUGCUGGCCAGGUGGAGGGUACAUUCUUCUAGGUGCCUGCUUGCUGCAGCGACGCGGGGGCGGAGUUGACCGAAGUCACAACUUGUUUCUGAUGUUGCGGGAGCUCUCCACGUAUUCCCCCGUCGGUGAGCUGCGCUCCCGUUAAGUCAAUAGCAAUGCAUGCUUAACCCAAGCGCGUCUAUAAUCGCAUGUAUAGCACUUUCUGGGCAGGCGUAGUCGAAACUUGAGUGGAGGUGUGUGAACGAGCUUCUCGGGCAGCCUACUGGCUAGUCAUUACUGCUCGUGAGAAUUGUCUGGCAGACUGCAAGUAGGUAAUGUGGAAAAGCCACUGACCCGACCCGAGCGACUGCCAAGUGCAUUUGCCCGACAGAUGUGGCCUAACUCCCAGACAGUGCAUGAAGAAGGUGGUAGCUUGCAAGGCCAUCUUUCCAAUGCAGUGUCUGGGAGUCAGGGGAAGAGGAAGGGUUGGGCUGCAGCGAGUGCAAACCCUUCCACUGCCAAGCGCGCGAUUAUCAUAGACUUCACGCAGCUAAGAUCUCAUACAGAUGAGCUAACAACCUCGAGUGACCUGCGUCCUGCUUAACGGGUCGGCUCAAGCUCAUUUGCACAUUUGCUGGUCCAAACGAGCGCCAGUCCACACCGCCAAACCCUGCCGCGCCCAGCAGCCCACCAGCCCAGCAAUAAGCAGGCCAAUUACGUCAGCACGGAAUGCAUCACGCCUGCAAGCGCGCUCGAAGGCUCGAAGUCGGCAUCGUACAGCCCCAUUCCGGGGCGGGGGAGUGCUUAUAAGCAACGGCGCCCGAUUUGCCAGGCAUUCACAGCUCUGCUUUUACUCCCCUUAACCUUACAUUAUCAUCCCAGUUGGGACGCGGGUCAUUACCCCUCGCGAACCCAGCGUAGGAAAAGCUCCCUUCUCCUUCCCCUGAUUUUCUCCGUCUCCUCCCUUCGCAACCAUGCGUGAGGUCAUCUCCAUCCACAUCGGCCAGGCCGGUAUCCAGGUCAGUUGACAGAGCGAGAGCGCGCUGGGACGUCGUUGCCGAGUUUGAAUCGCCUUGCCUCCCCCCCGCGGCCUCCAGCUGUGUCCGAUUAGCCUUGCUACUUUGCUGCUUGCUGUGGCCAUGAGUUGCUUCUUUCAAGCGCUUGUGCCAAGUCGCGGCGAGCUACACCCCCCCGCGUUCAAACUUCGAGGAUCUUGGCGCUGACAUUGCUCGCUCCCGCUUCCUCCCUUGCCCGGACAGGUGGGCAAUGCCUGCUGGGAGCUCUACUGCCUGGAGCACGGCAUCCAGCCCGAUGGCCAGAUGCCCUCCGACAAGACCAUUGGCGGUGGCGACGAUGCCUUCAACACCUUCUUCUCGGAGACCGGUGCCGGCAAGCACGUGCCCCGCUGCAUCUUCCUGGACCUGGAGCCCACCGUGGUGGAUGAGGUCCGCACCGGCACCUACCGCCAGCUGUUCCACCCCGGUGAGUGACGCCAAUUCCACAUGUCACGCGACGUCGAGCUUCUGUUGAGCAGCUGGCCCAUUGUUAAAUGUGCAUGCUUAGGCGCUCGACAGCCAAAUGCCCAUGGGCGUGCAUAUCUUACAGCCCAGUUUUCGUACCCUUGACUGCGUUUCCUCGUCUCGCUCUUAACAUUGCCUUUACCCCCUUCCCGCCCACAGAGCAGCUGAUCUCCGGCAAGGAGGAUGCCGCCAACAACUUCGCCCGCGGCCACUACACCAUCGGCAAGGAGAUUGUCGACCUGGCCCUGGACCGCAUCCGCAAGCUGGCCGACAACUGCACCGGUCUGCAGGGCUUCCUGGUCUUCAACGCCGUCGGCGGUGGCACCGGUUCCGGCCUGGGCUCUCUGCUACUGGAGCGCCUGUCGGUCGACUACGGCAAGAAGUCCAAGCUGGGCUUCACCGUCUACCCCUCGCCCCAGGUGUCGACCGCCGUCGUCGAGCCCUACAACUCGGUGCUGUCCACCCACUCCCUGCUGGAGCACACCGAUGUCGCCGUGAUGCUCGACAACGAGGCCAUCUACGACAUUUGCCGCCGCUCCCUGGACAUUGAGCGCCCCACCUACACCAACCUGAACCGCCUGAUCGCCCAGGUCAUCUCGUCGCUGACCGCCUCGCUUCGCUUUGACGGUGCCCUGAACGUGGAUAUCACUGAGUUCCAGACCAACCUGGUGCCCUACCCCCGCAUCCACUUCAUGCUCAGCUCGUACGCGCCCAUCAUCUCGGCCGAGAAGGCGUACCACGAGCAGCUGUCGGUGGCCGAGAUCACCAACGCCGCCUUCGAGCCCGCCUCGAUGAUGGUCAAGUGCGACCCCCGCCACGGCAAGUACAUGGCCUGCUGCCUGAUGUACCGCGGUGACGUCGUGCCCAAGGACGUUAACGCGUCCGUGGCCACCAUCAAGACCAAGCGCACCAUCCAGUUCGUCGACUGGUGCCCCACCGGCUUCAAGUGCGGUAUCAACUACCAGCCCCCCACCGUCGUGCCCGGCGGUGACCUGGCCAAGGUGCAGCGCGCCGUGUGCAUGAUCUCCAACAGCACUGCUAUCGGCGAGAUCUUCAGCCGCCUGGACCACAAGUUCGACCUGAUGUACGCCAAGCGUGCCUUCGUGCACUGGUACGUCGGUGAGGGUAUGGAGGAGGGUGAGUUCUCCGAGGCCCGCGAGGACCUGGCUGCCCUGGAGAAGGACUUCGAGGAGGUCGGCGCCGAGUCCGCCGAGGGCGCUGGCGAGGGCGAGGGUGAGGAGUACUAGACUCCUGGCAUGGCAUCAGGGUAGCAGCAAGUGUAGUGCUUUGCUGUUUGCCCGUCAAGAUGAACAGCGGUUGCUAGGUUGUGGAUCGAAGGAUCUAGCUAAUGACGUUGCAUCGUUAGCGUGGACGGGCACCCGUGCAUGAGUCUGAACACAUACUUGCUGCCUGAACAAACAGCAGUGGCUGCUAGCUUACAAGUGGACAGAAGGGUCUAGCUAGUGACGUGACAUGCGCAAGCGUGUGCGGACACCCGUGCAUGAGUCUGAACACUUGGCUGCUGCCCACCGGAACAAUGGUGCUGUAAUGGACUUGGAAGUCUUGCGAUUGGUUCCUCGCCCAAAAGGUUCUGGGACAACCGUAGUGCCGAUGGGGACUGGGAGUCAUGCACAGCUUGAUUUGUCAGCCUGUAACAUGCUGGCCAGAGUGCGGAGGUACCGUGCACGUCGGGUUGCUGGUAGACCCGCGGAGUCCUCUCCUUGAAAGAUGCCGUGAAAGCUUAGGCCAAACAGACUGCAAUCCACGCGGGCGGGGCCUCGCCCUCGCCAACCUGCCUUGAACCCUGUCCCAUCACACAUCCACGCGGGGCUGGACACGUUGCGUGCCGCAAUACACAAUCUGUUCGCACGCUUGCUUUCCACGCCGCAUGAACCUACCCCAGCUUUACAUUUUAUCUACAUGAAAAUCCAUGCGUCAAAUUGCUUAAGUUCCAGCGAUGCUAUUUCUCGCUGAGUGGGCGUGCACUGCUUCGGCUCGUCGCCUUAUUCCAUCACAUCAGUUGACUGGCAGCAUAAUAUGUGGGCCACGUCAUCAUUAUGACCUAGCAAAACAUGUAUCGAUUGUGCUAGAGCCGCUAGGAGCAAGAGCCCACCAAACUGUCGCCGAUGCGCACUCGCCGCGGGCUUGCUCGUCGGCCGGUCUUGUCGCUGGCUUGGCGAGUCGAUAUUUAGCUUCACUGUGGAGUCUCUUAGACACCAACGCGACUUCGCCGGUGCCAGGGGUGGCGCGGUGGGCGCACACGCGCGCGCCUCGGGGCCCCCAACCUGGCCUUGUCACACCGCCGCCCCCGGGCGUUGAAAGGCAGCGCGUUCGGGCCGAGCGUGCGGCACGGAGCCAGGCCGCAGCCAUACAGCGGAUACGGCAGUGCUAUACGCUGCAGGAACUGGGAGACAUCGUCCUCCGACAUGCUCAAGUAAGGGCACGAGUAGCACACGCGCAGACGGCAUGCCUAGUGCGAGCGUCCGGUCUGUUUCACACACCCUCACACCCGGCAUCACACCCGCCCACAGGCCCUGUCGCCGGCCCUGCUGGUGCAAGCAGCCACUCAGGCGCCGCACACUGUGCCCUGGCCGCUCAGCCAGGCCGACCGCGCACGACUGCACGACCUGAUGGGCCAACUAGCCGCGCAGUGCGCCAUGUGAGGAGCGGGUUGCGGGGCGGACAGGCGCCCAGCGGGAGGGCGGGCGGGCGGGCGAGCCAUCUGGGCCUCAACAUUCGCAUAAAAAUCUGGUUCCGGGUCGCCUUGACAGGCAUGGUGGUUGCAAGGUGACGUUUGGUAACACGCCGUGGCGUCCUCUGCGCCGUUGCUGGUCUGCCAUACGCAGGCGGCUGGAGGAGUAUAGCCUGGAGCAGCUGGCAGCGGUGCUGGCGGGCUGUGUGCGGGCGCGCUAUACGCCCACAGAGCUGCUGCUGCCGCUGCAGCUACGGCUCAAGUCAGAGGCGCGUGGUGACAUGCAGGUGCGCACGCUGCUUUGCCGAAGAAGUGCCGCUUCCCGCGUGUCGGCGCGACGGCAUCCCCUUCCUCGUGCGUGUCGGCGCAAGGCCAGGUGCCGCAUGCGUCCACUGGCGUGAGGCACACGUAUGGCUGCCGCGCGCAGGAGGAGGCGGCGCACGUGGCUGCCAUUGCAACCCACCUGUCGCGCCUGCGGGUGGGCGACGAGCGCACCUGGGCGACGCUGGAUGCGACGGCACGGGCCUGUGGGCCGCAGGCGGGCUUCACACACCUGGCAUCGCUACUGGCGGCGCGAGUGCGAGCGGGCGUUGCGUCCAGCGGUGACGACAGCAGCAGCGGCAGCUCGCGGGGUGAUGAGGGCUCUGCGGCGUCAUGGCUUGUGGAGCAGGUGGAGCGGGCGGCGGUUGCAAACCUGCACGCUGCAUCACCUCAGGUGAGACCCACGUCAGCGGCUGCCGGAGCCUUGAGCGUGGCCUGUGGUGCACGCCCUGUCAGACGCGGCCGCGGGCUGGUAUUGGGCGCGUUGGGGCCACUGCACUCCAGAAGACCGGGUCCGGAUAGCACGCCGUCACUUGCGUGUUUCCUCGAUCGAUAGUUUAGGGUGCCCUCGCAUGGCUAUCCGACGGCUUCCUGUUAAAGCCUAUUACCGGUAUAUCCUCAGGAGGUGGCCACACUCAUGUGGGCCCUGGCGCGCUGCAGCCGGCCCCCCAGCCGCUCGCUGGUACGGGCUCUGCGCACCCACCUGGACAGCAGCUUGCAGCAGCAGGACACGCAAGGGGCCGCGCAGGGAACGGCAGUGGGCAGCGGCGGGCCCGGCAGUGGGCAGCCGUACAGCGGUGUGCAGCUGGCGGCAGUGGCGGGCGCGUGUCAGAAGCUGGGUGUGGUGGACCGCCAGCUGAGCUGGCAGCUGGCCACGGCUGGGGCACAGGUGAGCACGUGUGGGCGGGCAGGGGUGGAUAUUGACCUUGGAUACGGGGAGCAGUUGACUACCUGCAGAGCGUAGCAGCCUAGGUUUGACACAGCCCUCAAUGGCAUUGUGCUGCGCUGCGGUCACAGGCGUUACGUGAUGAGGCGACGGCCCUGCGCAUGCCGGUCCCAGCCGCCGGCGCCGCUGCGUCCCGGCGUGCGAAGUUUAGCAUCGCGGGCGCCGCCGCGCCGGUGGAUAGUCAAGCGGUGGCGGUGCUGGUGGCGGGCGUGAAAGACGUGGCAGGCAGGCCGCGGCCACAGCCCAGGCCGCCUUCCACAGCGCCUGUAACUGCUGAGGCUGCUCCACCUGGCGCCGCUGCUGCCACAGCCCCGCCAAAUGCAACAGCCGGCGGCGAAGCUGCUACAGCGCCUGUGAAUUCUGCGGACGAAGCAUUGGUCCGGCUGCUACGCGCGGCCACAGACGUGCUACUGACCCUGCACAAGGCUGGCAUCCAAGAUCCAGGUAGCGGGCGGGCCCGUCAGGUGGGUGGGCUGGACGUGGAGCACGUGGCGGCGGUGGCGGCGGCGGCUCAGGACGCUGGCCUGGCGGACGAGAGUGCAGCCCUUCAGGCGUUGGUGGCUGAGCUGCCAUGGUGAGUGCGGUACAAUGCUGGUGGCUACAUGUUCCGCUGGCUAGGUAUUGUUUGCUGCUGUUGCACCAAGUGCAUGAUUAGGUCCGGCUGCUUACGUAUACCUCACACGACUACCGCCCAUAUCUAUCAUGCCACUGUAACUGUAACAGUAACUUGAGAAUCACCCCCACCACGUCCUGUCAUGCCACAGAUGCUGCCGGGGGCAUGAGGUUGCCGCGCGAGGCGCGGAGGACCUCCGCAGGCGAGCCAGGCGCAGAUGAGGUGCCAUGUGAGUGUUUGGGGGCGCCUGCAUAUGCUAGGGGAAAUGGAUUCGCGCAUGUUUGUUGCAGCAUGCCGUCUCAAAUGCACGGUAGCAGCCGCGACUCCCUUGAGCCGUAAGCAGCUGUUCCGACAUGCCGUAACCCGCGUGCCGCUUGCAAAGGCCCGAUGGUGUUCUAGGCGUGGGCAGCAUUUCCGAGGUGGGGGCCCCUGGCGUACGCUCACAUUGCAGCGGCCUAGGAGUUUUUAAUGCAGGCUUCUGCUUAUUGCCGUCUCUGCCGAUGUGCUAAAUGUACAGGCUGCAGCGGCGGCUUUGACCCCAGGGCGCGGCGGGCUUCUUAUUGAGGCUGCCGUCACGUGUGAUAGCUAGAAUGCAAAAGGGGCAGCUGUAGUUUGGGAAGCUGGGACAUGGAAGUCGAACGCACGGUACGGAGCAGCAGCGGCAACUGGCAUGAUAGGCGGGCAAGAGACCAGGCAGGACCAGGCAAGCAGCUAGGAUGCAAUGGCUUGCAGCUGGCCAUUCCUUACGGGCCCACCGUGAUCCUGAUGUUAUUUGCGGGACUGUGCACGCCGCAAUCAAGUGCCAGGUCGAGGGGCAGAGGAGCCCGGACUAUCCGUUGGGGGCUGAACUAAUCCAUGCAAUGUAGGCGUGACGCCACAUGGCAGAGCAAGCUUCUUCUCUUCAUGGCAGUCGCAUUGGCUGGUGGAGUGAUGAUUAGUGGCCUAGUGGGCUCCGGCGGUGUGAAGAUUCCUACGCCUAAGCCGCUGCCAAUUGUAUGCCAUUUAUUGGGUUCUGGGAAUCAGCUGCACCCUACGGGACUUUAUCAGCUUGCCUUGCCACUGUCCCAUCACACACUCCUACGCCUAAGCCGGCCAUAGAUUGAGGUGUAUAGUGCGACGUCGGAGUAAGGAAUGAAGCAAAGUUGGGCUCCAUGUGUCGUGUUCUUGCUACGUGAGCGUGGUUCGUUGUUGGUGCCCGCCGGGCCAUGGGGCCUGAUGGGGCCUAACAAAAAGACCUGGCAGGCACGGACCGGGACUCGUCCGGCCAGCCUCGGUGCCUUGGCCACACGCCCGCCAGCGGCCCGCCUAACCGGCCUUGCCCAGCAGAGCCUCGCCAGCACCAUGCCAACCCCGCACGCUUGCGGCCGUUUAUGGCUCCGCGGCUCCGCCUCCCUCAACCGUUGGUCUGCCCGUGUCCCCCCAAGUGUCCCCCUCCCUGCCCUUCCCCACGGUCACACAAACGGCAUCACGGGCCCGCCUCGCCUCGCCGCCAAGGCAGGGAUCCCUGUUCCACGUCCAUAAUCAACACCUAGGGCUAAGGUACCCGGCAGAUGCACACGUCUCAAUGUCUUCGUGACACAGGCAUGUAGCUGGCUAGGCUCCCUUGCUGGACGUAGGGGGGCGCUGCCGCACGCUCGGCUCGGGAACAGGGCGCGGCCCCGAGGCGCCCGCACAGCGCGACUCCUGACGAUACGCGCGCUACUUCUUUUGACCCCUCAAGGAGCUUCUAUGAAGCCUGCGGCCCGCCAGGGCACCUGAGCAACAAAGCACAUUUGCCGAGUGCCAACUUCAAGCGACAGCCGCGGCCGCCAAAGCAGGCAAGCGCAGCAGAAGCGCUCCCGUGAGUGCUUUAUAUUUGUAUUGUGCUGCAUGCGCGGUGGAGGGCGGCGCCAGGAAUUCAAACGAAGCCUCAUUGCGGCUCCCGCCCUAGUCGGCGCGCCUCGUUGAAAGCCCUGCUCCCACCCUUGAAAUAUACAUUUAGACCAAGCGACUAAUAGGCCGCUGUGACGCGUCGCCGCCUUUUAGACCACACACCGCCACUUUGAAGCGCAUCUUCUGAAAUGGCGUUGCCCGGCCAGACGACCCCUGAGGGCGUGCCUGCCUUCAAGCUAGUGCUUGUGGGCGAUGGUGGCACUGGCAAGACCACCUUCGUUAAGCGCCACAUCACUGGCGAGUUCGAGAAGAAGUAUGAGCCCACGAUCGGCGUGGAGGUCCGCCCCCUGGACUUCACCACCAACCGCGGCAAGAUUCGCUUCUACUGCUGGGACACUGCUGGUCAGGAGAAGUUCGGUGGCCUGCGUGACGGCUACUACAUCCACGGCCAGUGCGCAAUUAUCAUGUUCGACGUCACUUCGCGCCUUACCUACAAGAACGUGCCCACUUGGCACCGCGACCUUUGCCGCGUUUGCGAGAACAUUCCCAUCGUGCUGUGCGGCAACAAGGUGCGUGCUCUCGCCUCAGACUCGGGCCCGAUCUAGUCGCUGAGUCUCUCGGCCGCCGGAUUGGCGGCAAAAUGGCUCGCAGGUGGACGUGAAGAACCGCCAGGUCAAGCCCAAGCAGGUCACUUUCCACCGCAAGAAGAACCUGCAGUACUAUGAGAUCUCGGCCAAGUCGAACUACAACUACGAGAAGCCGUUCCUAUACCUGGCCCGCAAGCUGACCGGCGACCCCCACCUCAGCUUCGUGGAGGAGGUGGCUCUGCCCCCUCCCGAGGUGCAGAUCGACCUGGCGGAGCAGCAGCGCAACGAGGCAGAGCUGGAGCAGGCGGCGCAGCAGCCACUGCCCGCGGACGACGACGAUGAGGUGAGGGGUCUGGUGUGCGGCGUUGGGCUGCCGGGUAAACGGCUGCGGGCGUGCCCAUGGCGAUGCAUGAAGGUCCAGCUCUGUGCAGCUGUCAGCGUCGAGCAUCAUUCUUUCGGAUAAUUCCGCGUAGUAGCUUCUGUUGAACGCCCGCAUGCAUGCAAUGCGUAUGUCGACGACGGCUUUCUUCCCUCGUUAUCUCCCCAACUCCUGACUCGUGCUCUCGUGCCCUACGCAUCCCUGCUUCACCUCCUCAACCCACAGCUGCUGGACUAAGCGUUGCGGCGAGGAAGCAGCUUGCCUGGGGAAUGCUGGAGUGCCGUGCACUGCGGGAGCCUCACUCUUGCAAAUGCGUGUUAGGACAUGAGCGCAGGUGGUGUGAUGCAGGAGGUAGCAGAGAGCGCCAUUUGCGCAUGAUGCCACGGGCAAGCAAACUUCAUUUAGGGAGGACGUAGGCGUGCUGGAGACUAUGGACCGGACACUAACGAUUGACAUGGGGCAAUGACUCUUUAGGUAGGUGCACGUGGUGGCGCUGUUGCAGCGGUUGGUUCAAGUUUUGGGAUGGCGCCGCGGCCCCUGGGCGGGCAGUUGCAACGUCCCAUGGGCCACAGUCGGCUGGGUGCCAACAAGCUAUUGAUUGUGCUGCGCACGAAGAUAAAUAUAGGAAGCAAACGCGCGAUGUGCGGUGCUCGUGUGGGUGUUUGCGAGGCAUCGGGCCUGUCACAGUGCGUCGACAGGCCAGGGCACAGGCGCGAUAGGUCAGUAGACAUGAUGUCCCGUUGCGGCGGGCGGAGGAGUGGGCCAUAGGAGGCCCGGAGUGACCCUGGCCCGCCCUGCUAUUCAGGGGCGGGCAGGGAUGGAUGGCUCUGUAGGAGAGCGAAGCUAAUCUACGAGCGUCCCGUUGGCUCUGUUUCUUCUGGGUCUGGAUGGUGCCGGGGCGACAUGCAUGGUUAACAGGCGAAGGCAUUACAGUGGAUGAAUCAAAUCGCUCAAGUGGGUUACAUCAGGAGCACCUUCCAUUCCAGGGAAGCACGAGCAUGCGGUAGAUCACACGAAUGACGAGCAGGCAGGAGGUCACACAAAGUACAGUAUUCAGGUCACCAAUGCAUUUGCACAUCAUGAAUGUACAGCCCCACCAGCGCAGCCUACGACAGCCUACAGCCUCUCCAGCAGUCGUGCGUUAGCACUUAGCAGGGCCUCUAUCAUGGCUUGCCGGUCGCUGCCAACCAAGGGAAACGGCGGGUUGGACAGAGCGCCACCUGCCACCAUUGCCUUGCAAGCCGCGCCCCCCGCCGCCUCCUCCGAGCUCCUGGCCGCGUACACCGCAUCCAUCAGCACCACACCGUCACCGGUAAACGACGCUUCCCCCCGCAGCGAGUCCCCACUGUCGCCGAUUCCCACCAUCAUGCCCGCGGCGCCGCCCAGCCCCCCAGGCGCUGGCAGCGCCAGCGGCACCAGCCCCGCCUCUGCCCCUCGCGACGGCACCAGCGCGCCGCCGUCAUCCCAACAUCGUCCUGCCAUGCUGCCUUCGCCGGCCGCACUCCUCGUGCCUGGCCCCGCGCCUGCCGCGGCCGCGGCCAUAGCAGCCGCCUCCGGCGGCAGUGCACCCGUGGCGCUGAACUCACACAGCUGUGCCAUCCGCUGCGAGUUGAGCAGCGCUGCCCUCACCCGCGCCUGUGAGCGCAGCUCCUGCGCGCGCUCCGCCGGCGACUUGAACGCCCAGCGCGCAAAGUCCAGCGCCGCUUCCACGUAGCCCUCCACGCCCACCGGGUUGGCCACGCCCACCACCACCUGCUGCCCGUCCGGCAGCACCAGCUUGCAGUGGCUGUGGCCCGAGCUCAGCGUCAGCAGCGUGCGGUCAUCGAAGAUGGCGCGCACACGGCCGUCCUCGGAGGCGGUGAAGCGGCCGGUGCCGGGUACGCAGCUGUCCUCCAGCACCGCGUCGGAGGCGGCGGCGAAGAGCUCCUCGCUGGAGGCCGGCAGGGAGUCGAGAGGGUUUGCCAGGACGCCGGCGCCAGGCAGGCGGCUGCGGGAGCGUGCUCCGGCGCCGCCCGUGGCGCCGCCCAGCGGUGGAAGCGCGGCGGCCACGGGCGACGGCAGCCGCGCCGCUAUGGACGCCGCGACGUUAGUGUUAUGUGACCUGCAUGGGACGGAUUUAGCAGUGGCAAAGCUGUGAGCGCACCAAAUUUGUGCGCAAUGCCAUGUGACCACAUGCUGGCGCAGGACAAGGCACAGCUAGCACAAGGCUGCUCACAACACCGAGCAGCAUUUCCCUGCGCGAUGCAGCCGCACGCACCUGAGCUUCAUCGCAUGCGCCGCCAGCGUGCCCAGCGGGUAGCGGUACGUCUGGUCACGGCUCCACACUGCGUCGGGCACACAGUUUGCAGCGUACAGCUGCUCCGAGCCCACUCCGCCUCCGCAAUCGUUCGCUCCGCCGCCGCUGCGGUAGUGCGCAAUGAAGCGCCCGGCGCGCGUUGUGGCGAGGCAGGACUCGUCGGCGUGCACCCACACCUCCACCUCGCCCACGGCUUCCAGGAACUGGUACGUGGCGUGCGGCGUCCACUCAAACGCCACCACCACCUCUGGCGGCAGCAGCGACAGCGACGGCUCGCCCCACCAGCCGUCACUGCCCAGAGCCUCUGCCAGGCCGGCGCGCGUGCAGUGCAGUGCGGACGGCAGUACUGUUCGCCGUCGAGAGGUGGGCUCAGGCGCCUCCUCCGCGCCGCCCGGGCUGGUGCUUAGGCCAAAACGCAGCGACGCGAGUGGAGCCGCAGCAUUGGCCUUUGCGGCGCCGCCAUCUGGGUCCAACAGCGGCGUUGCCACCGCCGCGUCUGCACCAGCAGUCCGCUCCGCCCCUGGCGCCGCUGCCGUCGCCCGCUCCUGAUCCGCCGCCGCACCCGGCUGCCUGCCCGCCCCGAACUCCGCACCCGAGCCCACCGCAGCUGCGUCCAGCUCUGCGGCAGCCUGCAGCACCGCCCGCACCGCCGGCUGCCAACGGGGCGGAUGGCUGGCAACGCUGAACACCUGCGUCUGCCACACGUACUCGUACUUGGCCUCCUGCGGGCGCUCCGCCACCAGCAGCGGGUAGCACACUGCGAAUCGCCGCCGGUGGCUGUGCAGCACCACUUGGGCCACGCCGUCCUCGCUGCUGACGGCCACCUUGCCGUCAGGCUGCAGCUGCGCCAGGCCGGCUGAGAGCGCGACCGAUGGGCUGGGCCAGGUAGCGUCCUGGACCAGGUAGCCAAGCGCGAAGCUGGAGCGCAGCACGCGCGCAAGAGGCUUGCAGAAGCAGGGCAGCUCCACGUGCAUAUUCCGGAACUCCAGCACCGCCGCAAGGAGCGGGCUGUGCCGCGCAAGGGCGUACUCGCUCAGCUGGCGGGUGGAGCGGCCGUCGGGCGUGGUCACGAGGAAGGAGCUGCCCGUGCUGUUGAGCGACAGGAUGGUGUUGUCGCUGAACGUCGCCUUUGUGCGGCAGUCCGCCAGAAUGCACACGCGACAUAGGUCAGGGAGCUCCGCCACAGCAGUAGCCAUUGCGAGCAGUCGCAGAGGCCCAACGCCCGAGUUUGACUAUUCCCUUUGCAAGCUAAAUGCUGAUGGCUAGUCAUCAAGCCGGGCACAUCUAAUUUGGCUCUGCUUGCCAGGCUUCGUAUUUCCAAUUCAAUCGACAGCUGCUAGUUGCAAGAGGGAGCCCAGGACGCAAAGACGUCAGCAAACACGAUGUCAUAGGUCAGUUGUGUGCAAAAACAGUAUUGCGCUGCCCGCGACUGUGAUGUACGCAAUUGGCAGUUUCUGGAACCGGCCUUUCACGCAGGUUUGAUCGCUUGGGAGCAUUGAGCAUAAGUGCAUUUGUAUGGUCCAGGCAUAGCAGGCUCAUAGAGGCACUAGGUCCAAAAGACUUCGUGAAUUCCCGGCAGCUCACUAUCCCGUAUCCGUGUUACCUUGAGACCUGCCUGAAGCCAACUAUAAGAACCUGUGAGGUACCUUUCCUUCAUCUUCCUUGGACGGCGCUUGGGACCUGUGAGAAGGCCCGGACGCGACAUCCCCCACCCGCGUUUGGUGCAGCAGCGGCCCUGAGUCUGCAAAAUGGCCGACGACGGCGACCUCAUCGCCAACUUCCUGGCGAUCACUGGCGCGGAUGAGGGCGUGGCGAUUCAGUGCCUUGAGGCCGCCAACUUCAGCUUGGAGGAGGCGGUGAACCUCUUCUUCGCCGCGGACGGCAACUUCGGCGGGGGCGGAGGCGCUGGCGCUGGCGCUGGGGCCAGUAGGGGGGGUGUCGGGGGCGCCGGCGCCGGAGGCGCCGGGGGCGCCGGCGGCAUGUACGAGGACGAGGUCCGUGCACCGCUGCCUACCAAGGUGGAGCGGCUAUACGGCGACGACAACCGCUACGACCCACGCGCCAUGGCCGCAGCGCUACAGGCGCGCCAGCAGGGCCUGGCCGGCCGCCCCGCACACGCGCCCAUCGACGUCUUCCGCGAUUUCCGGGCCGAGUCCGCCGCUGCCGCCGCGGCAGCGGCGGCGGGCGGGUCAGCCGUCCCUGGCGCCGCAGGCGCCGCCCCUUCAGCUGCUCCGGCCGGUCUGUCUGGUCUGUUCAAGCUGCCUGAGGACCUGGUGUAUGCGGGCUCGGCGGAGAUGGCGCGGGCGCAGGCGGCGGCGGACGGGCGCUGGCUGCUGGUGAACGUGCAGAGCAACACGGAGUUCGCCAGCCACCGGCUCAACCGCGACACCUGGAGCCACGAGGCGCUCAAGGAGAUCCUGAAGGGCACCUUUGUGUUCUUCCAGGUGGGGGCAGCGGGAGGACGGGAGGCGCUUGAGAGAGAAUAAAAAGAGAGUGCAUGGCGAUGGGGAUGGCGAUGGAGAUGGGAUGGGGCUGGGGUUUAGGGCCGUGUGGGCUGCAAGGGGCCUUGCGCAUUGGGCAACACGAACCAUGCACGAGUGCGAGGCGCAAGACACGCAUGGUAUGGACAGCACUUGCUAGAUGUAGCCAGCUGGCCAACCCCAACCCAUCUGCGUUCCCACGCCCACACCCAGACCGCCCGCUUCCACAAGCUCUCACAUCCACACGCUCCCACGCACUCACGCGCGCACGCGCCCUGCCCGGCGCCCGCAGACUCUGGAGAGCACCACGGACGGGCGGGCGCUGGUCAAGGCCUACCGGCUGGACGCGCUGGCGCCGCCGGGCGGCCCGGUGUGCCCCGCCACCUUCGUGGUGGAUCCGGUGACGGGCGCGCAGCUGUGGCACCGGCUCGGCUUCAUAGACGCGGAGAAGCUGAUGGAGGAGCUGGUGCCGUUCAUGGACCACGGCCCGCUGGACGCAGGUGCGGGCGUGUGUGGGGUUGCGGGCGUGUGGGGGUUGCGAGGGCCAGGCCCAAAGGGUGGUGGGCGCCGCUGCAGGCUGCUGGGAUAUGCGGAAGGGCGUGCGGGGCCGCGGGCUGGGGGACGGGGUAUGGGUUUGAAGGGCUUGGCGGCGACUCGUCGGGAUUGGUGGGCUGGUGGGGAGGGAAUGUGCUGGACGCAGGCGGGGACGGAGUGUGAUGCGGGGCUGUGGGCCUUCCUUGGAAGAGGGCGUUGGCGUAAGGACCCAGUGCGGCCGCAGCUGGUAUGGGCAGCGCAUCACACCGCACCGUGCGCUUGCGGCUGGAACAGGCGCAGCCGGCAUCGCCCAGAUCAACAUGAAGCGCAAGGUGGCCAGCAGCACGGCGGUGGCGGCAGCAGCAGCAGCAGCAGCCGGCGGGGCGGCGGCGGGUGGCGGGGGCGGCGGCAGCCGCAAGGCGCUGACUGAGGAUGAGGAGCUCGCAAUGGCCAUUGCCAUGUCUAUGGAGCGAGGUGAGUGGGGGCAGGGGCGGGGGUAAUGGUGCUGCACAGCGGCACCGUGCGGCACCCGGGCACCCCAGGGGUUGCAGUGCUGCUUGUGCGGGCAUGGGCGCGGAGGGAGGCGCAUCAGCCGAAGGCUGUGAGAGGGCUAGCGGUCGCGGGCAUAAUACGGCAGAGGAGUUGCGGAGGAGCUAGCGCUGCAAGCACGUCCAGCGUCACUCAAGUGCAAGCCGCCGGGAGCGGCGAGGGGUACGGUGAUGUCCGCCGGCGCUUCCCGGCGCAAACACCCGUCAGCAGCAGCCCCUGGCAGCCCAGCUGCCCUUGCUGGCGGCUCCAGUGCUCCAAGCCUGUAUCCUCAGUAGCACCAACUCCAACCCACUUCCAACCCAACUAGGCGGCGACGGCGCGGGUCCCUCCGGCACCGACAUGGGCGGUGACAGCGCCGCUGCCGGCCCCAGCGACGGCAGCGAUGACGACGACCUGGACGAGGCGGCCAUCUGGGCGCAGAUCCAAGCCAAGGAGCGGGCGGAGGCGGAGGCGGAGGCCGCGGCGGAGGCGGCGAUCAGCCGGAAGUCGCCAGAAGAGGUGGGGUGAGGGAGGUGGGGUGAGGGAGGUGGGGUGAAGGGCCAGCGGCGGAAUAAAGCCGGGUAGCCUGGCAAGGUGGGAGGGAGCAGCGGGGUGGGUGCGGGUGGCAAGGACGGCACCUGGAGCAAGCGAGGACCCACAGCCGUGCUCGCAUACUUGCUGACCUUUGCAAACCUGGCGCCACUCGAACAGGUGGCUGCGGAGGCGCUGGCGCGGGUGCCUGAGGAGCCGGCGGAGGGCGACCCCGCGGCGCUGCGAGUGGCGCUGCGGCUUCCGGACGGCGGGCGCCUGAUGCGGCGCUUCCGCAAGUCGGAGCACGUGCGCUGCCUGUACGACCUGGCGCUGGCCAAGGUGCCGGAGGCGGCGGCGGGGAGGAGGUGAGCGCGGGGCGGGGCGUGUGUCGUGUCGUGUGUCUGUCGGUUCGGGUUGCGUCUGAGCCAUGUCGUGCCAUGUGGCGGCCCCUGACUGGCCCACUCCUCUGAUGCUACCGGCCCCGAUGUCGCAGUGUGACGAUCUCUCAUGCCACGCCGGGCGGCGCAGCGCUCACGGACCAGGACCAGACGCUGGAGGCCGCGGGCGUGGCGGGGGCCAUGUUGGCCGUGAAGCUGGGGGAUUGAGGGGCCGGGGGCUGGGCGGUGGAGGGGCGCUGAAGGGGUGCUAGAGGGUGGGGGUUUACCGGUACUGAGGGUGGUGGGUCUCGACAGUCGGCACGAAGGCUUGGUUCACUGGGGUGUUGUACAACAAUGCCGCGGGCAGUGGUUGGCCUGGGGAUGACUUGCGCGCUAGCCGUGUUGCAUGCUCGUAAGACUGGGACGGCUUCUUAGUUGCUUGGCAAGAGCCCGCGUUGCUCACACAUGCCCUGGGCAGGCUGGUCAGGGUACUGGCUACUGGCUAGGACCAGGCGUGGGGGGCAGGCCGGGCCGCCGAGUGAGGGGAGCCCCCGAGGAAUGGGCCGCAGAGCUGCAAGGCUCAAUACUAAGCCCGGCACUGAACCAACGACCCCUGGAACCAACAGGCGGGGUGUUUCCCUUCUGACUUGCCCCAAACCGCACCAGUCUUGAAGGUUGAAUCAACCUGCUACCAGGUAACAAUAUAUACACCGUAAGGCGCGCUUUCAAGACACCGCAAACUGGUGUCUCGAUCGUGCCUUCUCUGCGCCAUCCUAUCACGAUCAUGCACACGUAUGCACAUGCUUCGCGCCUUGCACGGGCACUGCCCCCAGCCGCCCAGCCUGCCAUUUUGUACCCCGGUAUGGCUGCGAGGAUUCCAGAUGAAGCGCGCAAACGGAACCUGCGCCAUUGCUUCAGGAGAGGGCGAAAGGCCGGGAGGAUUGGGGGACCGGGUGGCAGGGGGGGUUCGCUUAACCUGGUGACCCUCGGGUCAAAGAAGCUCCUCCCGCCGCACGUCCGCCCACGCGACCAUACUGUGGAGCAGCAUGGAGAGCAAGGGCUGCAUGCCUGCAUCUGCUUGUUAGCGCUCGCGGCCGAUCCCUAAGGCGCGAGCCGCGAGGCAGCGAUCGGGAGCAGUCUCGGAAUGCACCGUUUCUUUUGUUGCCUUACCCUGACCGCUGCAGUGCUCACCACUACUCUAUCUGCACACAUAUGAUGAAUGCAAGAUCAAACACGUCACUACUGUCAAGCCUGACCAGGCAAAACACGAAGACCAACGCAAUUCCCGCAAGAAUGUCUCACGCUUCACAGCAGAACCCGAAGUCGCUUAUCAAUCAAUUUUACCAAAGAGCCAAAGGCCCACAACCCCGCUAUGAUGCGGUUCCGGCGCCCAUUGAUGGUGCCGUUCAGCGUUUCGUCUGCUCGGUCACGCUGCCUGGGGUGACCGUCGAGGGAGAGACUAUGCCUGAACAGGUGUUCCAAGAGGAGGGGCGAAGCAAGAAGGCAGCAAUGGUGAGCGGCUAGCGUCGCGGGGUGAAGGGGUAUGGAGGGUAGCGCGGGGUUGUGGGUGUGGUGAAGGCACCACUGUCUCAGAGCUCUUCCCAGUUGACACCAGUGGUCGGACCAGCUGUUGCGGAUGGCUCGAUCGGACUGUACAUGCAUCGCAUGCUGCAUGCCUGUGCCUUAGGGGCCGGAAGGGGCGACUGGGCUGUAGCGGAGGAUGAGCGCCAUGUAGGUUAGGUGGCGGCAGCUGACGGGCCACAGUCCAUGGCUGCGGGGCUGCAGGUGUAUCCGGGGCACUCCUCAGUCGCGCACAUAACGACACGCCGCGGAACGCGCGCCGCUUUGCAUCGCACCAUUCCACCGUUCCAUGUCUUCUUCUCUGCCUCAUGACCUCUGCAACACACGCCCCGACAUCUGUGACCGCCGCCGCCCCCAUCCCCCAUGACCCAUCCAUCCCUCAUCCCCCGUCAGGACGCCGCCGCCGCCACCGCCUUCGCCUUCCUGGCCGAGCAGCCCGCGUACGGCGCCACCAAGCCCUACGAGGAGUCGCUGGUGCGCACACUGGCGGCCCGGGUGCUCAGCCCGCAGGUGCGCCGGGGGGUGGUGGGGGCGGGCGGUGGGGUUGUGUGAGAUCUCGACACGGCACGGCUGGCUGGUCUGGCUGGGCUCUUCUGGCGGGAAGAUGAGAGGCAGUAAAGGAUUGUAACCAGCGGCGUUGCAAGCUCGAGUAGCUUGACUGAAGGCCAUGCCUCCUGCUCCGCCGCCUCCUCGUCCUCAUCCGUUCAGGGCCUGUAUCGUGACCCCGAGGUGCACGGUGUGGCGGUGGCGGGCGCCGCCUACCACGACGGCUGGCUGCCGCUGAGUGGACUGGUGCACAGCCGCAUGCUGAGGGGCUGGGCCAAGGAGUACGGGCCGGGAGCGGGAGCGAGCGGCGGGGCCGAGACGGCGGGAGGCGCCGUCGCAGUCGACCCGGCACUGGUGCGCUCGGGGUGUACCGGUCGUGUGGGAGCGGUGCAGGGGCGGGUGGCCGCAAGCGCUGGGGUGCCGGUGGUGUGUGGCGUGGAGCCUGUUGCGGCCGGCCUGGUGUCUCCUCCACCACGACACGCACACGCACACACACACACGCAUUUGCACACGCAUUGCACACGCAUUGCCCAUGCACGCAUGCGUCCGACGCUUUGUGUGUCGCUGCUUGCGUGUUCGUGUCAACACACACACACACAUAUGCACACACACACACACAGCUGGUGGACCUCAUGCGGCGGGAGCUGGCGGCGCAAGCGGCGGCCGAGGAGCCGUCGUCAGGCGGAGCCGGCAGGCCCGGCGGCGGCACCAGCACCAGCCAUGCCACUGGGCUGGCGGCGCUGGGCUUGGAGCUGGCGCCCAGCGGGCUGAGUGUGCGCCUGGCGGCGGAGGCGGCCGCCGCCGCGCCGCCCGGCAACCUCAGCGAGCAGAUGGAGGCGGAGGUGGUGGCGGCCGGCGGCGCGGCGGGCGUGGUGGUCAUACCUGCGGACAGCAGGUGGGGCUGCUGGCGGGAGGGUGCCGUGUGCGGGCUGUAUGCUGCUUGUGUGUGUGUGUGUGUGUGUUGGAGGCCGGGGGUAUACAUACCAGGAGCACCCAAAUGCUGCAGCCUGGAUUGCCUCAUCCAUGCACCGAUACCAUGUCAACCCCAAACAAACCCCGCCCGCCCCGCCUCACCAUGCCUCACCACGCCUCACCACGUCGCCACCCCCCCCCAGCCUGCCGCUGCGUGAGGAGCGGCUGUCGGUGCGCACCCCGCUGCUGGCCGGCGUGGCGGCACUGCUGGGCUGCCCCUCGCCCGCACACGUGCUGCAGUGGGGCCGAGUGGGGCACAAGGCCACAGUCGCACGCGACCCGCGGGGUGGCGGAGAGACGGAGGCGGCGGCGGAGGGGGCGGGCCAGGCUGGGGCGCCGGGCGCCGCACCCGGUCCAAUGGAGGCGACUGGUGAGGGCGGAGAGCCGGCACCCAUGGACGAAGGUGUGAGACCGGGCUCGGGUCCGCUUUACCGGCGGCGCGCAGCAUGAAACCACACGACCCCUUUGCCAGUCGCCGUGUUCGCCGCAUGCCCUAGUACCGCCGCAUGCCCUAGUACCGCCUAAUCAACACGUCCCUCUAUGCUACCCCCCUCACCUGCAGGCGGCUCCUGGCGGCUGGCCGAGACGCUGAGCAGCGCCCCCGGCGGCCUCGUGCCGGCGCACCAGCCGCAGCCGCAGCCGCAGCCACAAAGCGGAGAGAACGAGACGCCCGCGCCUGGCACCGGCGCCGCAGGCGCAACUGGCACCGCCCUGGACACCAAUGCCGCUCCUGCGGCUGCUGGUCGUGUUGGCGGCGGCGGCGGCGGCGGCGCCAGCCAUGCAGCGGCGGCGGGCGAGAUGCGGCCGCCCGCGCCACGCCGCACCACGUCAGUCGGCUCGCAGCAGUCCAUCCAGCUGCAGCAGCCGCCGCGCCACGCGCAGCAGAAGAGCGCGGCGGCGGUGGAGGGCGGCGAGGGAGACAGCGCGGCGGUACGAAGCCCGGAGCCGUCCGUCUUCUCUGCGCCGGCCGCCGCGGCCGCGCCGCGGGCGCAGCAGCAGCAGCAACCACAGGGCAGCGCGUCAGGUGCCGCGCGGAGCGCAGGAGGUGGCGGCGGCGGUGGCGGCGUUACCACCAGUGGUGUCAGUGGGGGCGGCGGCGGCAGUGCGGCGGUGCCGUUGGGCCCUCCGGCUGUGACGGCUGUGGCGUACCGCGUGGACUCCACAUUGACACUGGCGGUGCACCGGGGGCCGGCGGCCAUGGACUGGGAUGCGGACGGCAACGAAGGUGUGUCAGGCGUGGUGGAGGGCAGCGUGCGCAUCGGAGAAGCGGCUUAGGAUGCAGGGCUGGGGUUGCAUGGGGUCACCCCAUGUGGAGUACAUCUGUGUGUUGGUGCACAUCUUCAACAUUUGCUGUUGAUGCCCUCAUGCAGUGCGCGGGCCCGAGCGCGCCGACGUCUCCCCAACCACCAGCACCGCGCACCGGCAGGCUAACGCCGCCCACACCAGCGGCCACGCCGGCGCUGACAGCGCCACCCGGACGCAGCACCGCCACCCAGAGCACCACCACCACCACCACCACCCGCACCAGCACACGCAGCAGCCCGCGGCUGGUCCCACUUCACCUCUGGCCUCCGCCCCCACAAGCCCACGGCUGGAGGGCGGUGCCGCCGGCAUAGGUACCGGUGGCGGCGGCGGCGGCGGUGGCGGCGACGGUUCCUCCGUUCCGGCAGUACUGCACCCCACCUCCGUCACACUGCCCGAGCCCUCGCUCUACUCCCGCCUGCUGCUCCCGCCGCUGCCCGCACCCACGCCCGCCACCGCCACCGACACCGCCCGCGGCGACGACGCGCCCCUGCUCUACGACCCCUCCUCCGCUAUCCUCACCAUUGCUUUCGGACCAACCGCCGCCGCCGGGGCAGCCGCACCUGGCGGCGGCGGCGGAGCCGGCGGAGUCGUACUGCCGUGCCUAGCGAGCCAGCAGCUGAACGUACGUGCCACGUGGCUGGCGGGCCGGCCAGUGUACGGCGACGCGGUGGCGACCACGUGCCGCCAGAGCCCCACGCCGCACGUGCGCAAGAACCACCACGUGAUGAAGUGGCGGUCGUACGGCGCCGCGCAGUGGUGGGCCACGGCCGCCGCCGCCACGCCCGCCGCCGCCUACGUGCGCGCGCUGCACGCGCCGCUGCUGCUGCGGGGGCUGCCGCGGGAGUUCCGGUGAGCCGCGUGGCUAUCGAGAACUUCGGCAGCUAUGAGGACUUGGGAGUAGUUGGGCUAGGACGACGGCGAAGAGGGGAGGGUCCUUGGGAUCGUGCGCAGUUGCUGGCCUGCAUGCGUACCGGUAUGCGCACCCUAUGUGCGCAACAACCCCUGCUGCAUCACGCUUCAACAUCGUCACGCUCACACACCCCGUUGUGCUGCGACUCGGGUGCCCACCGCAGCGGCCCCUCCAGCUGGUUGGGCCCGCUGCCCCGCCAGCUGCUGGACGGCUACGUGGCCGCGCACCCACCGCCGCCAUGUGCAGGCGGGGGGGCGGGGGCGGCGACUGUGGCCGAGAUGGAGGCGGCGGCGCAGUACCGGGCGGCUGUGGGUGCCACUGUACAGAUUGACCUGGAGGUGGGUGGGCGUGUGUGUGUGUAUAUAUAUAAGGGAAACAGCAAGCGCGGGCGGGCGCGCGUGUGUGUAUACAUGUGUGUGUAUGUAUGUGGGUGGGUGUAGGUGGGGGGGUGUGGGUAUAUGACUGGGUUGUCUGUAAGGCUGGGCGCGUGGGGCUGUCUGCCGUGGAAGCUAGCAGGAGGUACGGAGAGACAGGUGUGACACGCCGGGCGGACGCCAAGGCCCAGUGAAACCUGCAACUGGUCUAGAGCCCCAGUCGCCGCACUUGCGCUUACUUGCAACACUGCCUUUCUCCUCCUGUCCUCCUCCUGCUCGUCCUCGUGCUCGUCCUGCCAGGUGCCAGAUGUGGACCUGCCGGGGGAGGGUGUGGCGGUGGUGAGGGGGACAAACUUCCUGGGUCUGCCGUACAAGGUGACUGCAGGUGAGCAAGUGGGGGCUUGGGGGUUUGGGGCUUGGGGUCCCGACCGCCGCCGCGCGCAUUGCUCUGCUGGCUCCACCGCACGUGGCGGUGCCGCGGCCACGCACAUUGCCAGCCCGUCGGCGUACAUACACAAUUGCUUGUGUUCGUCUCUGACACACACACACACACACAUUUGCAUUUGCCGUCAUGCAUGCGCCCAUGCCGUCCCCCGCCUGUUUACUUGCUCGUGGUCGCCCACCCUCCGUCUCUUUCCCAAAUCGCGCAACCCCUAAUAUAGUUAAUUGGGCUGGGACUGGGCUGCGUGUUUGCUCUUGCUAGUCGCGCGCCGCCGCGCUAACAUGUUCCUUCGCUCUUGUUCGUGACACUCCCCUGCUGCCACCCUGUGCUCUGUUGUUUUCUUAUUCGCUCGUAGGUGAGAAUUUCAUCGAGGAUUGGGCGGGAGCUUGGACUUAGCGGCCAGGAGUAGCGACGCGGAGCUAGGAAUCGUAGGAGUGCCUGGGCCUCACGGUACCGUGAGCACAUGCAUGGGUUUGCACCCUUGAGAGCGUGUGGACACUAAUCCCCCCUCGAGGUUAGAGUAGCGGGGGUUGCGCGAUUUCCGGUUGGUAAGACCGGCGGCUCACCGCAGCAGGUAUGCGAGGUAACUUCAGGUAACAUCCGUAAACCGUCGCUUUGCUGCAUCGCAUACACUGUCUUUGCGCAACGUUUUCCUUGUGCUCUUUAACACACACACACACACACACACACAGCACACACACACAUACACGACACACAUACACGCACGCACGCACGUUUCCGUGUGCAGGCCCCGCCCCGCUGGACCUGGCGGUGCAGCAGGCGGCUCUGGCGGCGCUGCACCAGCUGCAGCGCCUGGACGCCACAUGCCUCAACACGGGGCCACGGCUGGCGCACCAGGCCCCGCAGCCGCCGGGGCAAGGGGCUGGCGUGGCGCGCAUGGAGGCCGAGGGCAGGGCUGCUGCAGGCGGAGUGGGGGCGCCUGGUGAGGCGCCCGAGGAGGAGGACGAGGUGGAGGAGGUGGAGGUGGAGGGGGCUGCGGGUGUGCAGGUGCUGGAGGAGGGCCUGGCACACGCCCGCCAGCCCCGAGAGGGAUGCAUGGCCAAGGUGCGGCCGCGCAGGCGGCAGGAGGGGCGACGGUACUGGUAUGGGGUGCACGUGGCGAGUGGGGAGGACCCAGCUAGGGGGCAAUCCAUGUGCAGCCCGGAAAACAUACACGUCUUCAUUCAGCCCAGCGGCUGCCUCGCCCGCUGCGCUCCUUCCUCACUCUUGCGCGCAGGUGUCGUACACGCUGUACCUCACACACACGCACAGCCCCCGGCAGCCCCCUCACACUGCUGCCGGCCCCGAGCCCGCCGGGCCCAUCGCCUACACCACGGCCGCCGCUGGCGGGGCUGGCGGAAACAGCGGCGCCGCUUCUGCCGUCAAGACGAGGGCGGCGGCGGCGGCGGCUGCAGCCGCAGGUGUCGCUGACGUGGCCUCCGCCGGCGCCCUAGACGAGCAGCAGCAGCAGCAAGAUGUGGUAAUGGGCGGAGCCGCGGCAGGUGGCGGCGGCGUCAGUGGUGCGCCGUCGGGCUCGGGGUCGCCGUGUGGCUCGCCGGGCGGCGGCAGCAGUCGCUGUGUGGUGCUGGAGCAGCACGCCAGUCUGAGCCUGUGUGUGGGCGCCGGCGGCCGGGGCGCGGUGCCGCCGCAGCUGGAUGCGGCUCUGAGGCGGCUGCGAGUGGGCGGCCGAGCCCGCUUCAGGUGGGCGCAUUGCCUGCACUCAUUGCGCUUGCGCUGCUGCGCUGCAAGUCUAUCAACCUUCUUCGCGCGUUGUAACUUGCGAAACCUCGCCACCAACCCCCCCUACAC
Molecule: long non-coding RNA, 25585 nt
Filed under: Chlamydomonas reinhardtii
Lineage: Eukaryota; Viridiplantae; Chlorophyta; Chlorophyceae; Chlamydomonadales; Chlamydomonadaceae
Description: long non-coding RNA (CREI_LNC000288)
Source: RNAcentral